AUACGGAGGGUGCGAGCGUUGUUCGGAAUUACUGGGCGUAAAGCGCGUGUAGGCGGUCGAGCAAGUCGAAUGUGAAAUCCCUGGGCUCAACCCCGGAAUUGCAUCCGAAACUGCUUGGCUAGAGUCCCGGAGAGGAAGGCAGAAUUCCCAGUGUAGGGGUGAAAUCCGUAGAUAUUGGGAGGAAUACCAGUGGCGAAGGCGGCCUUCUGGACGGUGACUGACGCUGAGAUGCGAAAGCGUGGGGAGCAAACAGGAUUAGAAACCCCGGUAGUCC
Molecule: ribosomal RNA, 274 nt
Filed under: uncultured bacterium
Lineage: Bacteria
Description: partial 16S ribosomal RNA
Rfam family: Bacterial small subunit ribosomal RNA
Source: RNAcentral